AUGGCCCUGAUUUUCCUGGCUGUCAUGUUGGAACUGGCAGACUUUGGUCAUGCCCAAAAGGACUCUGUGCUCCAGUUCCCAGCAGAAAUGACCGUCCAGGCAGGACACAACACAGCUCUGCACUGCAACUUCUCCACCAGCAGUGCCAAUCCUUACCUCUACUGGUACCAGCACCACCAGGCCCAGGCCCCUCAGAUGCUUUUAUGGGUGAGCAAGUACAGAGCUCUCGUGGACUCGGAGAGGUUCUCAUCUGAACUGUCUGUGAAGACCUCCCAGGUGCUUCUGCGUGUGCGGGAUGUGGAGCUCCAGGACAGCGCUGCCUAUUUCUGUGCACUGAGCCCACCCUGGUGCCCAGAGCUUGCAGCUGUGCACAGAAACGUGGUGGGGGCUCUGAGGGGUGGUUCCCUCCCUGCCACUGCUUGCAUGGAGCUCUGA
Merops nubicus (carmine bee-eater) is the source of this 435-nucleotide non-coding RNA. NCBI's taxonomy places the organism in Eukaryota, Metazoa, Chordata, Aves, Coraciiformes, Meropidae. The record is from the annotation of a RefSeq genome assembly.